GAUGAACGCUGGCGGCGUGCCUAAUACAUGCAAGUCGAGCGAACGGACGAGAAUCUUGUUUUUCUGAUGUUAGCGGCGGACGGGUGAGUCACACGUGGAUAACCUACCUAUAAGACUGGGAUAACUUCGGGAAACCGGAGCUAAUACCGGUUAAUAUUUUGAACCGCAUGGUUCAAAAGUGAAAGACGGUCUUUCUGUCACUUAUAGAUGUAUCCGCGCUGCAUUAGCUAGUUGGUAAGGUAACGGCUUACCAAGGCAACGAUGCAUAGCCGACCUGAGAGGGUGAUCGGCCACACUGGAACUGGAACACGGGCCAGACUCCUACGGGAGGCAGCAGUAGGGAAUCUUCCGCAAUGGGCGAAAGCCUGACGGAGCAACGCCGCGUGAGUGAUGAAGGUCUUCGGAUCGUAAAACGCUGUUAUUAGGGAAGAACAUAUGUGUAAGUAACUGUGCACAUCUUGACGGUACCUAAUCAGAAAGCCACGGCUAACUACGUG
RNAcentral lists this ribosomal RNA (497 nucleotides) under uncultured bacterium. Its description in RNAcentral is "partial 16S ribosomal RNA". It matches the Rfam family "Bacterial small subunit ribosomal RNA", at positions 28 to 507 of the family's 1533-position model. The record is from RNAcentral.